RNAcentral lists this transfer RNA (74 nucleotides) under Pteropus alecto (black flying fox). It matches the Rfam family "tRNA". Rfam says of the family: Transfer RNA (tRNA) molecules are approximately 80 nucleotides in length. Their secondary structure includes four short double-helical elements and three loops (D, anti-codon, and T loops). RNAcentral also lists the same sequence under 1 other name. The record is from Rfam by way of RNAcentral. Lineage: Eukaryota; Metazoa; Chordata; Mammalia; Chiroptera; Pteropodidae.
GGUUCCAUAGUGUAGCGGUUAGCACAUCUGCUUUAUAUGCAGAAGUUUCUGGGGUUUGCUCCCCAGUGGAGCCA